UGGGCGCAAGCCUGAUGCAGCGACGCCGCGUGAGGGAUGACGGCCUUCGGGUUGUAAACCUCUUUCAGCAGGGACGAAGCGUGAGUGACGGUACCUGCAGAAGAAGCACCGGCCAACUACGUGCCAGCAGCCGCGGUAAUACGUAGGGUGCAAGCGUUGUCCGGAAUUACUGGGCGUAAAGAGCUCGUAGGCGGUUUGUCGCGUCGUCUGUGAAAACCAGCAGCUCAACUGUUGGCUUGCAGGCGAUACGGGCAGACUUGAGUAUUUCAGGGGAGACUGGAAUUCCUGGUGUAGCGGUGAAAUGCGCAGAUAUCAGGAGGAACACCGGUGGCGAAGGCGGGUCUCUGGGAAAUAACUGACGCUGAGGAGCGAAAGCGUGGGUAGCGAACAGGAUUAGAUACCCUGGUAGUCCACGCCGUAAACGGUGGGCGCUAGGUGUGGGUUUCCUUCCACGGGAUCCGUGCCGUAGCUAACGCAUUAAGCGCCCCGCCUGGGGAGUACGGCCG
RNAcentral lists this ribosomal RNA (506 nucleotides) under Rhodococcus sp. HCUPPB13. RNAcentral's name for it is "bacterial SSU rRNA". It matches the Rfam family "Bacterial small subunit ribosomal RNA", at positions 372 to 888 of the family's 1533-position model. The record is from RNAcentral. Lineage: Bacteria; Bacillati; Actinomycetota; Actinomycetes; Mycobacteriales; Nocardiaceae.